UACGAAGGGGGCUAGCGUUGUUCGGAAUUACUGGGCGUAAAGCGCGCGCAGGCGGCCUUUCAAGUCAGGGGUGAAAGCCCGGAGCUCAACUCCGGAAUUGCCUUUGAAACUGUCAGGCUCGAGUACGGGAGAGGUGAGUGGAAUUCCCAGUGUAGAGGUGAAAUUCGUAGAUAUUGGGAAGAACACCGGUGGCGAAGGCGGCUCACUGGCCCGUAACUGACGCUCAGGCGCGACAGCGUGGGGAUCAAACAGG
This 253-nucleotide ribosomal RNA is filed under the name uncultured bacterium. RNAcentral describes it as "partial 16S ribosomal RNA". It matches the Rfam family "Bacterial small subunit ribosomal RNA", at positions 524 to 776 of the family's 1533-position model. The record is from RNAcentral.